UUAAGCGACUAAGCGUACACGGUGGAUGCCCUGGCAGUCAGAGGCGAUGAAGGACGUGCUAAUCUGCGAUAAGCGUCGGUAAGGUGAUAUGAACCGUUAUAACCGGCGAUUUCCGAAUGGGGAAACCCAGUGUGUUUCGACACACUAUCAUUAACUGAAUCCAUAGGUUAAUGAGGCGAACCGGGGGAACUGAAACAUCUAAGUACCCCGAGGAAAAGAAAUCAACCGAGAUUCCCCCAGUAGCGGCGAGCGAACGGGGAGCAGCCCAGAGCCUGAAUCAGUAUGUGUGUUAGUGGAAGCGUCUGGAAAGGCGCGCGAUACAGGGUGACAGCCCCGUACACAAAAAUGCACAUGCUGUGAGCUCGAUGAGUAGGGCGGGACACGUGGUAUCCUGUCUGAAUAUGGGGGGACCAUCCUCCAAGGCUAAAUACUCCUGACUGACCGAUAGUGAACCAGUACCGUGAGGGAAAGGCGAAAAGAACCCCGGCGAGGGGAGUGAAAAAGAACCUGAAACCGUGUACGUACAAGCAGUGGGAGCACGCUUAGGCGUGUGACUGCGUACCUUUUGUAUAAUGGGUCAGCGACUUAUAUUCUGUAGCAAGGUUAACCGAAUAGGGGAGCCGAAGGGAAACCGAGUCUUAACUGGGCGUUAAGUUGCAGGGUAUAGACCCGAAACCCGGUGAUCUAGCCAUGGGCAGGUUGAAGGUUGGGUAACACUAACUGGAGGACCGAACCGACUAAUGUUGAAAAAUUAGCGGAUGACUUGUGGCUGGGGGUGAAAGGCCAAUCAAACCGGGAGAUAGCUGGUUCUCCCCGAAAGCUAUUUAGGUAGCGCCUCGUGAAUUCAUCUCCGGGGGUAGAGCACUGUUUCGGCAAGGGGGUCAUCCCGACUUACCAACCCGAUGCAAACUGCGAAUACCGGAGAAUGUUAUCACGGGAGACACACGGCGGGUGCUAACGUCCGUCGUGAAGAGGGAAACAACCCAGACCGCCAGCUAAGGUCCCAAAGUCAUGGUUAAGUGGGAAACGAUGUGGGAAGGCCCAGACAGCCAGGAUGUUGGCUUAGAAGCAGCCAUCAUUUAAAGAAAGCGUAAUAGCUCACUGGUCGAGUCGGCCUGCGCGGAAGAUGUAACGGGGCUAAACCAUGCACCGAAGCUGCGGCAGCGACGCUGAUGCGUUGUUGGGUAGGGGAGCGUUCUGUAAGCCUGCGAAGGUGUACUGUGAGGUAUGCUGGAGGUAUCAGAAGUGCGAAUGCUGACAUAAGUAACGAUAAAGCGGGUGAAAAGCCCGCUCGCCGGAAGACCAAGGGUUCCUGUCCAACGUUAAUCGGGGCAGGGUGAGUCGACCCCUAAGGCGAGGCCGAAAGGCGUAGUCGAUGGGAAACAGGUUAAUAUUCCUGUACUUGGUGUUACUGCGAAGGGGGGACGGAGAAGGCUAUGUUGGCCGGGCGACGGUUGUCCCGGUUUAAGCGUGUAGGCUGGUUUUCCAGGCAAAUCCGGAAAAUCAAGGCUGAGGCGUGAUGACGAGGCACUACGGUGCUGAAGCAACAAAUGCCCUGCUUCCAGGAAAAGCCUCUAAGCAUCAGGUAACAUCAAAUCGUACCCCAAACCGACACAGGUGGUCAGGUAGAGAAUACCAAGGCGCUUGAGAGAACUCGGGUGAAGGAACUAGGCAAAAUGGUGCCGUAACUUCGGGAGAAGGCACGCUGAUAUGUAGGUGAAGUCCCUCGCGGAUGGAGCUGAAAUCAGUCGAAGAUACCAGCUGGCUGCAACUGUUUAUUAAAAACACAGCACUGUGCAAACACGAAAGUGGACGUAUACGGUGUGACGCCUGCCCGGUGCCGGAAGGUUAAUUGAUGGGGUCAGCGCAAGCGAAGCUCUUGAUCGAAGCCCCGGUAAACGGCGGCCGUAACUAUAACGGUCCUAAGGUAGCGAAAUUCCUUGUCGGGUAAGUUCCGACCUGCACGAAUGGCGUAAUGAUGGCCAGGCUGUCUCCACCCGAGACUCAGUGAAAUUGAACUCGCUGUGAAGAUGCAGUGUACCCGCGGCAAGACGGAAAGACCCCGUGAACCUUUACUAUAGCUUGACACUGAACAUUGAGCCUUGAUGUGUAGGAUAGGUGGGAGGCUUUGAAGUGUGGACGCCAGUCUGCAUGGAGCCGACCUUGAAAUACCACCCUUUAAUGUUUGAUGUUCUAACGUUGACCCGUGAUCCGGGUUGCGGACAGUGUCUGGUGGGUAGUUUGACUGGGGCGGUCUCCUCCUAAAGAGUAACGGAGGAGCACGAAGGUUGGCUAAUCCUGGUCGGACAUCAGGAGGUUAGUGCAAUGGCAUAAGCCAGCUUGACUGCGAGCGUGACGGCGCGAGCAGGUGCGAAAGCAGGUCAUAGUGAUCCGGUGGUUCUGAAUGGAAGGGCCAUCGCUCAACGGAUAAAAGGUACUCCGGGGAUAACAGGCUGAUACCGCCCAAGAGUUCAUAUCGACGGCGGUGUUUGGCACCUCGAUGUCGGCUCAUCACAUCCUGGGGCUGAAGUAGGUCCCAAGGGUAUGGCUGUUCGCCAUUUAAAGUGGUACGCGAGCUGGGUUUAGAACGUCGUGAGACAGUUCGGUCCCUAUCUGCCGUGGGCGCUGGAGAACUGAGGGGGGCUGCUCCUAGUACGAGAGGACCGGAGUGGACGCAUCACUGGUGUUCGGGUUGUCAUGCCAAUGGCACUGCCCGGUAGCUAAAUGCGGAAGAGAUAAGUGCUGAAAGCAUCUAAGCACGAAACUUGCCCCGAGAUGAGUUCUCCCUGACUCCUUGAGAGUCCUGAAGGAACGUUGAAGACGACGACGUUGAUAGGCCGGGUGUGUAAGCGCAGCGAUGCGUUGAGCUAACCGGUACUAAUGAACCGUGAGGCUUAACCU
RNAcentral lists this ribosomal RNA (2901 nucleotides) under Escherichia coli. Its description in RNAcentral is "23S ribosomal RNA". It matches the Rfam family "Bacterial large subunit ribosomal RNA". The record is from RNAcentral. Lineage: Bacteria; Pseudomonadati; Pseudomonadota; Gammaproteobacteria; Enterobacterales; Enterobacteriaceae.